This 468-nucleotide ribosomal RNA is filed under the name uncultured bacterium. Its description in RNAcentral is "partial 16S ribosomal RNA". It matches the Rfam family "Bacterial small subunit ribosomal RNA", at positions 28 to 507 of the family's 1533-position model. The record is from RNAcentral.
GACGAACGCUGGCGGCGUGCUUAACACAUGCAAGUCGAACGGAAAGGCCCUGCUUUUGUGGGGUGCUCGAGUGGCGAACGGGUGAGUAACACGUGAGUAACCUGCCCUUGACUUUGGGAUAACUUCAGGAAACUGGGGCUAAUACCGGAUAGGAGCUCCUGCUGCAUGGUGGGGAUUGUAAAGUUUCGGCGGUUGGGGAUGGACUCGCGGCUUAUCAGCUUGUUGGUGGGGUAGUGGCUUACCAAGGCUUUGACGGGUAGCCGGCCUGAGAGGGUGACCGGCCACAUUGGGACUGAGAUAAGGCCCAGACUCCUACGGGAGGCAGCAGUGGGGAAUAUUGCACAAUGGGCGGAAGCCUGAUGCAGCAACGCCGCGUGCGGGAUGACGGCCUUCGGGUUGUAAACCGCUUUCGCCUGUGACGAAGCGUGAGUGACGGUAAUGGGUAAAGAAGCACCGGCUAACUACGUG